Molecule: long non-coding RNA, 789 nt
Organism: Melospiza melodia melodia
Lineage: Eukaryota; Metazoa; Chordata; Aves; Passeriformes; Passerellidae
Exons: 2
Source: RefSeq, a predicted model, not a curated record
CUCGGCGCAGGGGGCGGAGCUCGGUUACCGCUCGCCGAAAGGGAAGCGCUUCCAGCAACGAGCUCAGCUACAGCCCCGCGCCUUGGUACAAUAACCGCGUGAUUGUGGCGGUACGCUGUCAGCAUCUCGUCCUGGUGGCUCUGCAUAGAGGGAGUGGGAAUGUGCUUUGGUAACUUUCCCAUUUUCACUUCUGUCUCAAAACAGAAGAUCUGAACCUGCUCUAGGUGACCCUGCCUUGGCAGGGGGUUGGACUAGAUGAUCUCCAGAGCUCCUUUCCAACCCUAAAAAGUCUGUGAUUCUGUGAAAUUUCAGGCUUUCCACGACAGGCUUUCCCAGAAGACCCUACAGUGUGCCGUGGGAAACGGGGACGCAGCAAAGCGAGCACUGAUCCCAGAGCUCCCUCAGGAUGCCAAGACUCGGGCACGGCGGAGAGCUCUUCCGUCAUCCAGGAAGGUCCAUUGUGUCCCAUCUAAGCACCACUCGGGUUUGGAGAAGGUGAGCUGAAAAGUACUUCCUUAGCCUGCAAAAUGGACUAAUGAAUUUGUUUAUACCAAAACACCUCUUGAGGCCAAAGUAGUGCUUGUAUAUAUGAUUUGAAAGAUUUUCUUCUAGAAGACAUGUAAAACAUGUGGUUUGCUUUUGAUUUUUUUUCUUUUUAUGUUCUUAAAAUACUCUUCCAUACCAGCAGAGCUGUGACUGGAUAUAGCAUGACCUGGCAUAAAUGUCAGGGUAGAAACUCAACUCUGGUAGUUGGAUUUGAUCAGAAAAAUAAAAGUAAAUUGAUGUUUC